AAAUAUGAAGAUAUAUAUACUUUAAAGAUAUUUUUAUUUUGGUAGGAAGUUAGGAUUAUCUCACUCUCAUGUUGUAAGAUAUUUCUGGGUACCAUAUUAUUAUUACAUUGAAUACCUAUCUUAAUAUGUUCAUUUACUUUUCUUCUUUAUUUUUAUUUAACUUUGCCACUGAAUAGCAAUCAAAUAUGGCAGUGAGAAUGACAUUUAUGGGUAUAAUGUUUCCUGAGAUAUGAUUCCUGAGAAAACAAAAUUGUACCAUAAAACAAAUUAUGUAAUCCAGC
Molecule: long non-coding RNA, 281 nt
Filed under: Vigna radiata
Lineage: Eukaryota; Viridiplantae; Streptophyta; Magnoliopsida; Fabales; Fabaceae
Description: long non-coding RNA (VRAD_LNC001615)
Source: RNAcentral